UGCAAGUCGAACGGUGAACACGGAGCUUGCUCUGUGGGAUCAGUGGCGAACGGGUGAGUAACACUUGAGCAACCUGCCCCUGACUCUGGGAUAAGCGCUGGAAACGGCGUCUAAUACUGGAUAUGUGACGUGAUCGCAUGGUCUGCGUCUGGAAAGAAUUUCGGUUGGGGAUGGGCUCGCGGCCUAUCAGCUUGUUGGUGAGGUAAUGGCUCACCAAGGCGUCUACGGGUAGCCGGCCUGAGAGGGUGACCGGCCACACUGGGACUGAGACACGGCCCAGACUCCUACGGGAGGCAGCAGUGGGGAAUAUUGCACAAUGGGCGCAAGCCUGAUGCAGCAACGCCGCGUGAGGGACGACGGCCUUCGGGUUGUAAACCUCUUUUAUCAGGGAAGAAGCGAAAGUGACGGUUCCUGCAGAAAAAGCGCCGGCUAACUACGUGCCAGCAGCCGCGG
Molecule: ribosomal RNA, 453 nt
Filed under: PAH-contaminated sludge bacterium PB-27
Lineage: Bacteria; Bacillati; Actinomycetota; Actinomycetes; Micrococcales; Microbacteriaceae
Description: bacterial SSU rRNA
Rfam family: Bacterial small subunit ribosomal RNA
Source: RNAcentral